Non-coding RNA from Lepisosteus oculatus (spotted gar), 519 nucleotides. The record is from RefSeq and is a predicted model, not a curated record. Lineage: Eukaryota; Metazoa; Chordata; Actinopteri; Semionotiformes; Lepisosteidae.
UCGUAGGUGGAUACUGAUAACUAACCGAACUUUUCAGCUCACUGUGAUGUCAUCGAUGACGUACCCUCUCCCUCAAGUUUCUCGGACCUGAAGUAGUUGUAAUGUCUGGGGCUGCAUUCAUCUUCAAGUUUGGAAGCAGUGAUCAUCAUGUUUUUUUUUUUGUACAAAAGGCUGAAAUUUAUCACUGAAGUGAUACAUUGAGGAAACACCUAUAUGACCCCAAAUCCCGACUGUCAGCACAUUCCAGGAGGUGGCUGCCGGUUGCUGUGCUCUACUGUGAAGGAAGGAAGAAUAUCUGUUUUGGGAUUUACAGGCAUGUACAGUACUGUAUCCUCUGAAAGAUCCCUCUGUGAGUGUGUGCUUCAUUACAAUGGCAUAAAGAACAAUACAGGUCACUCAAAGCAGAGGACAUUUGUCUUGUGUUAAAACUUUCCUAUUUAGGCUGUCAAAGUGAUGUAUCUGUGUCUUUUUUUUAUAAUUUUUAAGUAAAUGAUUUAAAAUAAACUUUGAAGAACUUCA